CGCAGUGUCCGCGAGCGCACUUCUGUUCGGGGUCAAAGGUUGUUGCUUCACCAUCUUCGUGUUGUCAGUGCUGUGAGGCUGUAAACUUCUACUAGGGAGGAUCAAAUAAACCAAUCAUGUCGUACACGUGCAUCAGCUGCCUUGUGCAGUUCUCUGAUGGGGAGGUCCAGCGGGCACAUUAUAAAACAGACUGGCACCGCUAUAAUCUGAAGAGAAAGGUUGCAGACAUGCCUCCGGUUACCUCAGAAAACUUCCAGGAGCGAGUGCUGGCACAGCGGGCAGCGGCCGAGCAGCAGAGUCAGAGCGGCGGACACGGCUCGGCCUACUGUGCCACCUGCAACAAAAAAUUCUCCACUGACAAUGCUUACAACAAUCACAUCCAAUCCAAUAAGCACCAGUACGCUGAGAGGAAAGCCUUGGUCGCCGCCCAGGAGACUGUCCAGCGAAUGAAUGAGAAGAAUCUGGAGAAAGGGGCGGAGCUAGAUAAAGACGCACAGAACGAAGCGCUUCAGAAAGCACUCAGGGAGCAUCAGAGACACACCCCCUCUAAAGCCACACCCACAGAGAAACAGGUCAGAACGCAGCCGGACAAACCGCCUCGGCUGCAGUGGUUCAAGCAGCAGGCCAAGAAGAUCGCAGCGGAGGAGGGUGAAGAAGAGGAGGAAGAAUGGGAGGAUGUUGAUGAGGAUGAGGAUAUGGAUGGUGAUGAUGAUGAUGAAGAGGAGGAGGAGAUGGAGGAGUACUCCACAUCUGGGGCAGCUCCGGCCCCCGGGGCCAUCCCAGUGACAGACUGUCUGUUCUGUGGACAUCAUUCACGCUCACUCGCCCGAAACAUGAUGCACAUGACCAAAACACACAGCUUCUUCCUCCCUGAUAUUGAGUAUCUGGUGGACCUGAGAGGAUUUAUUUCAUACCUAGGAGAGAAGGUUGGUGUUGGUAAGGUGUGCUUAUGGUGUAAUGAAAAAGGGAAGUCAUUCUACACUACAGAAGCAGUUCAGGCACACAUGACCGACAAGAGUCACUGCAAACUAUUCACAGACAGAGAAGCCGCUCUCGAGUUCGCAGACUUUUAUGACUUCAGGAGCAGUUAUCCUGAUGCUAAAGAUGGAGAUGAUGCGGAGAUGAAGGAUGGUGAACUGCCUGAUAAAAAGACUGUAGAGUUUGAUGAUGAGACGCUGGAGCUCACUUUGCCCUCAGGUGCAAAGAUUGGCCAUCGCUCCCUAAUGAGGUACUAUAAGCAGAGGUUUGGUGUUCAGAGGGCAUUGGUUCCAGCUCAUAACCAGAAGGCUGUUGGUCGAGUCCUUAAACAGUACAAAGCACUUGGAUGGGCAGGAGACUUUGGUAAAGGCUUUGUGAGCCAGCAGCAGAAGGACAUGCAGUAUGUGCGGAGGAUGAAGUCCAAGUGGAUGCUGAAGAUGGGCAUGAGCAAUAACACCACCAAACAGACCCAUUUCAGAGCACAAGUCAUGUUCUAAACUAAUUAACCUUCAGCAUCAGUUAUUAACAGUAGUCUGGAAUGAUAGUCUGUGUGUUGAUUCAGCUGAGAUGUGAACUGCUGUUAAUGUCAUGAAUAAAGGUGGAACUUCAUACAUUAAUGUAUAAGGCAACAUUGUGCUUUAGAUAUCUAAAUUAUGUGCUUUUCCAGCAUCAACAUGAGAUUGAUACAUUAGGGUUGGAAAAUUGUUCAUAAUGACCUUUAUUAGCAUUUGCAAUUUUAAUACUCCUUGUAAAAGGUAAAACAUAUUAUAAAAACCUACUUCAGAUUUAUAAUACUGUAU
This is an RNA transcript of Sinocyclocheilus anshuiensis, 1778 nucleotides long. It is a transcript of the gene named zinc finger protein 622-like, with no coding region annotated. The transcript has 8 exons. NCBI's taxonomy places the organism in Eukaryota, Metazoa, Chordata, Actinopteri, Cypriniformes, Cyprinidae. The record is from RefSeq and is a predicted model, not a curated record.